UAUUCCUUUAAAACAGUCCUGUGAGGCUGUCAAGGAGACCGUCAAGACAGAAAUGCAUGCUUUUUCUUGUAUGCUAUUAUUUUGUAGGAUCUCCUUGUUUGAGGAGAUUUUUUUGUU
Molecule: non-coding RNA, 117 nt
Organism: Streptococcus pseudoporcinus LQ 940-04
Lineage: Bacteria; Bacillati; Bacillota; Bacilli; Lactobacillales; Streptococcaceae
Source: Rfam